Molecule: non-coding RNA, 778 nt
Filed under: Clanis bilineata
Lineage: Eukaryota; Metazoa; Arthropoda; Insecta; Lepidoptera; Sphingidae
Source: RNAcentral
AAAUAAAUUUUUUAUGGUUUAUAUAAUUUAUUUUGAAUUUGUUUUACAUAUAAAUUUUAGUGUUAAUUAUUAAUUAUUUAGAUAAUAAUUAAUUUUUUGGUAGUAAUUAAUUUUAAAAAUUUAAGAAAUUAAGAUUUAGUAAUAUUAGAAUUAAUAACUAAUUUUGUGCCAGCAGUUGCGGUUACACAAAAAUUGAUUUAAAUUUUUUUUGUAAUUAAUAAAUAAUUUUUAAUAUAAUUUAAAAUUUAAAUUAUAAGGUGAAAUUUUAAUUUAAUAAAAAAUUAUUAUAAAAUUAUGAAUUAAUAAAUUUAAUUAAAAACUAGGAUUAGAUACCCUAUUAUGAAAAAUUUAAAUUAAUAAUACUUAAAUAGUAGGUAAUUAUUUAUUGAAACUUAAAUGAUUUGGCGGUAUUUUAGUUUAUUUAGAGGAAUCUGUUUAAUAAUUGAUAAUCCACGAAUGAAUUUACUUAAUUUAUUAAUUUUGUAUAUCGUUGUUAAAAAAAUAUUUUUUAAUAAAAAUAAUAUUUAAAAAUUUAAAAUUAAAAAUUAAAUCAGAUCAAGAUGCAGAUUAUAAUUAAGAAUAUAAUGGAUUACAAUAAAUUUAUUUAAAUUGGAUUUUAAUUUGGAAUAAUUAAAUAAAAUUGGAUUUAAAUGUAAUUUUAUUUAAAUUAUUAAAAUGAUUUAAAAUUGAAAUAUGUACAUAUUGCCCGUCGCUUUCAUUAAUAAAUUGAAAUAAGUCGUAACAAAGUAGAGGUACUGGAAAGUGUUUCUAGAAAGAU